RNAcentral lists this long non-coding RNA (898 nucleotides) under Olea europaea subsp. europaea. The record is from RNAcentral. Lineage: Eukaryota; Viridiplantae; Streptophyta; Magnoliopsida; Lamiales; Oleaceae.
AUUUAUGUCUAACCUACAGGCUACAAACUCUCUCUCUUCCCCAAAUAUCAAGUUGGCACUCUCUUACCCAAAGCUCAAAUCGGCAGCUUCUUCCCCACCCUACCAUUUAGAUUCAGUCCACCUAUACUGGGAAGCACUACCACUACCACAAGACUGACACCACCCCUCUCUUCUCUCCUUUCUCCAUCCUUCGUUCUUUGUCCGUUGGGGACAACAUCACGCCUACCACCUUCAAGUGAAGUGAUCAUUGACAAUCCGACGCGCAGUGGUCGGGAUCUGCUGCUCUACAAUUUGAUGUUUUGUGUACGGUAGUAGAUGGCUAUCAUCUAUGGUGGAUGGGAAUCGUUGGUUGUAUGGACGGUGGCAAUGUAGAUUGUGAAUCCGACGUGGCGGCGACAGCAUGACUAGGCAGCAAGCUCACUGUUGCGACGCCACUCUUUGGUGGUUGCUAUUAUUUUUCCGAAUGGGGGUGGUUUUCAGGCGAUGGUUUUAUUGGAUAUGGUGGUGACUGAUUUUUGUUGGUGGUAGUGGCAGUGGUUGUGGCAGUUGGGGACGAUUUUUGUUGAAUCUGAUGGUGGUGGUCUUGGUCUUGGUGCUGGUAUUGGUGGCAAUGCUGCUAGGUUGUAUUAGUAGUGCUGUGGUGAGGUGCCAAUGGUUCUGUUGCUGGUAGUACAUAUGGUUCUAAUGAGGUCGUGUACAUUUGUUGCCGGUGUUGGGACUUGGGAACGGUGGUGAGUGACCAAAUCUAUCUUUAAUGUGACUGUCUGGGACCAGAUUUGUAUUAAGUGGACUGUAUUUGACUUGGUCACAUAUAAUCAUAAAUUAGACUAACAUGGUCACAGAUAGUUACACUGAAGACAAAUUUGGUAUGAAUACAUAAGGUCACAGUUCAUACGUU